This 429-nucleotide ribosomal RNA is filed under the name Bacteroidota bacterium. RNAcentral's name for it is "Bacteroidetes bacterium partial 16S ribosomal RNA". It matches the Rfam family "Bacterial small subunit ribosomal RNA", at positions 355 to 776 of the family's 1533-position model. The record is from RNAcentral. Lineage: Bacteria; Pseudomonadati; Bacteroidota.
UAGGGAAUCUUCCGCAAUGGACGCAAGUCUGACGGAGCAACGCCGCGUGAGUGAAGAAGGACUUCGGUUCGUAAAACUCUGUUGUUAGAGAAGAACAGCGCAUAGAGUAACUGUUAUGCGUGUGACGGUAUCUAACCAGAAAGCCACGGCUAACUACGUGCCAGCAGCCGCGGUAAUACGUAGGUGGCAAGCGUUGUCCGGAUUUAUUGGGCGUAAAGCGAGCGCAGGCGGUCAAUUAAGUCUGAUGUGAAAGCCCCCGGCUCAACCGGGGAGGGUCAUUGGAAACUGGUUGACUUGAGUGCAGAAGAGGAGAGUAGAAUUCCAUGUGUAGCGGUGAAAUGCGUAGAUAUAUGGAGGAACACCAGUGGCGAAGGCGACUCUCUGGUCUGUAACUGACGCUGAGGCUCGAAAGCGUGGGUAGCAAACAGG